GGUAACACCGGCUACGGAUGGCCAUGCGGCGCAUUAGCUAGUUGGCGGGGUAACGGCCCACCAAGGCGACGAUGCGUAGGGGUUCUGAGAGGAAGGUCCCCCACACUGGUACUGAGACACGGACCAGACUCCUACGGGAGGCAGCAGUGAGGAAUAUUGGUCAAUGGGCGCGAGCCUGAACCAGCCAAGUCGCGUGAGGGAAGACGGUCCUAUGGAUUGUAAACCUCUUUUGUCGGGGAGCAAAAGACGCCACGUGUGGCGUUCCGAGAGUACCCGAAGAAAAAGCAUCGGCUAACUCCGUGCCAGCAGCCGCGGUAAUACGGAGGAUGCGAGCGUUAUCCGGAUUUAUUGGGUUUAAAGGGUGCGCAGGCGGAAGAUCAAGUCAGCGGUAAAAUUGAGAGGCUCAACCUCUUCGAGCCGUUGAAACUGGUUUUCUUGAGUGAGCGAGAAGUAUGCGGAAUGCGUGGUGUAGCGGUGAAAUGCAUAGAUAUCACGCAGAACUCCGAUUGCGAAGGCAGCAUACCGGCGCUCAACUGACGCUCAUGCACGAAAGUGUGGGUAUCGAACAGGAUUAGAUACCCUGGUAGUCCACACAGUAAACGAUGAAUACUAAUUGUUCGGGGAGAAUGAUCCCUGA
This 637-nucleotide ribosomal RNA is filed under the name uncultured bacterium. Its description in RNAcentral is "bacterial SSU rRNA". It matches the Rfam family "Bacterial small subunit ribosomal RNA", at positions 202 to 842 of the family's 1533-position model. The record is from RNAcentral.